UGGGUCUUUGCGGGCAAGGUGAGUCCUCAGUUAAUUCAACUGGCCUACAAAGUCCCAGU
RNAcentral lists this microRNA precursor (59 nucleotides) under Monopterus albus (swamp eel). Its description in RNAcentral is "Mal-Mir-193-P1b2_pre stem-loop". It matches the Rfam family "mir-193 microRNA precursor family", at positions 10 to 68 of the family's 76-position model. The record is from RNAcentral. Lineage: Eukaryota; Metazoa; Chordata; Actinopteri; Synbranchiformes; Synbranchidae.